RNAcentral lists this ribosomal RNA (1984 nucleotides) under human metagenome. RNAcentral describes it as "bacterial LSU rRNA". It matches the Rfam family "Bacterial large subunit ribosomal RNA", at positions 1 to 2011 of the family's 2925-position model. The record is from RNAcentral.
UAAAGCAAGAAAGGGCGUAUGGGGAAUGCCUAGGCACACUCCGGCGAAGAAGGACGCAGCAAACAGCGAAAUGCGACGGUGAGCGGUAAGCACGUGAAGAGCCGUCGAUAUCCGAAUGGGGGAACCCACACGGAGUCAUAUCCGUGUAUCACAUGUCGAAUACAUAGACAUGAUGAGGCGAGACGCAGGGAACUGAAACAUCUAAGUACCUGCAGGAAGAGAAAAUAAGAAUGAUUUUCUGAGUAGCGGCGAGCGAAAGGGAAAGAGCCCAAACCGAUUUUAGGAUCGGGGUAGUAGGAUCAUCGAGAAAUCUGACAGAGGAUCAUAGAGGAAUCACAUGGGAAGGUGAGCGAGAGAGGGUGAGAGCCCCGUACUCGAAAUGAGAGACUGGAGAGAGAUGACACCUGAGUAGGGCGGGACACGAGAAAUCCUGUCUGAAUCAGCCGGGACCAUCCGGCAAGGCUAAAUACGAGAGAGUGACCGAUAGUGAACCAGUACCGUGAGGGAAAGGUGAAAAGAACCCCGGGAGGGGAGUGAAAGAGAACCUGAAACCAUAUGCCUACAAGAAGUCAGAGCCCGUUAAAGGGUGAUGGCGUGCCUUUUGUAGAAUGAACCGGCGAGUUACUGUAUGGAGCGAGGUUAAGCAGGAUAUGCGGAGCCGAAGCGAAAGCGAGUCUUAAGAGGGCGAGAGUUGCAUGCAGUAGACCCGAAACCGGGUGAUCUAGCCAUGACCAGGUUGAAGUUGGGGUAAAACCCGAUGGAGGACCGAACCGACCCCCGUUGAAACGUUGGCGGAUGAGUUGUGGCUAGGGGUGAAAUUCCAAUCGAACCCGGAGAUAGCUGGUUCUCCCCGAAAUAGCUUUAGGGCUAGCGUCGAGGUAAGUUGCGUGAAGGUAGAGCACUGAAUAUGUGAUGGCCCCAUCUCGGGGUACUGAGCAUAAUCAAACUGCGAAUGUCACGCCAACAUGCUCGGCAGUCAGACAGCGGGUGAUAAGGUCCGUUGUCAAGAGGGAAACAGCCCAGACCAUCAGCUAAGGUCCCAAAAUGUAUGCUAAGUGGAAAAGGAUGUGGAGAUGUACAGACAACUAGGAGGUUGGCUCAGAAGCAGCCAUCCUUUAAAGAGUGCGUAACAGCUCACUAGUCGAAUGACUCUGCGCCGAUAAUUUACCGGGGCUAAGCAUACUACCGAAGCUAUGGAUCCCAAGGGAUGGUAGGGGAGCGUUCCAUGAACGGAGAAGUACGACCGAAAGGACGUGUGGAGAUCAUGGAAGAGAGAAUGCCGGUGUGAGUAGCGGAACGUGGGUGAGAAUCCCACGCACCGAAAACCCAAGGUUUCCAGAGGAAGGUUCGUCCGCUCUGGGUAAGUCGGGACCUAAGGCGAGGCCGAAAGGCGUAGUCGAUGGACAACAGGUAGAGAUUCCUGUACCCGUAUAUAUGUGAAGGAAUGACGGAGAGAGGAAGCUGCAGCCAGCGGCUGGAAGAGCUGGUGCAAGCGAGAUAUCGGGAUGGCAGGCAAAUCCACCAUCCGAAACGAGAAGGCGUGAAGCGUACGGAAAGCUACGGCGAGUACGGAAGGCAGUGGAGGAACUUCCAAGAAAAGUUUCUAACGUUAAGUAUAUAUGGCCCGUACCGAAAAUGGACACACAUGGGUGAGGAGAGAAUCCUAAGGUGAGCGAGAGAACUAUAGCUAAGGAACUCUGCAAAAUGACUCCGUAACUUAGGGAGAAGGAGUGCUCAUAGAGAUAUGAGCCGCAGUGAAACGGCCCAAGCGACUGUUUACCAAAAACACAGCUCUCUGCUAAGCCGCAAGGCGAAGUAUAGGGGGUGACGCCUGCCCGGUGCUGGAAGGUUAAGGGGAGGGGUUAACGCAAGUGAAGCCUUGAACUGAAGCCCCAGUAAACGGCGGCCGUAACUAUAACGGUCCUAAGGUAGCGAAAUUCCUUGUCAGGUAAGUUCUGACCCGCACGAAAGGCGUAAUGAUUUG